GUUCAGCAAACCCCUCCACCUGCUUGCCAGGGCCCUCGUCCAGCCCUCUGGCCGGGCCCCACCGGCGGGCCCCACCAGGCACGUACCACUGCAGAUCACCUGGCACAUCUUGGCUUCAUUGGUCCUUGGAUGAACAAAGACACAGGGAGACAGGCAGCAAGAAAGAGAGACCAGAAGAAGGCAACAGGCGGGCAGAGAAAGGAAGGAAACCGAGGGACGCUGGGGGCAGAGAAGAGGCGUUGUUGGGGGAAAGGGAACAGCACAGAACUCAUCAGCAAGUCCCAUCAGUCGGAGCCUCACUCAUCUCUCCCGUCUGCACACCCCUCACCGGCUUGGCCCCAGCCUGAGCCACCGUUGCCUCUCACGUACACACCUCUCAUCCCUUCUCCACCCACACAACAGCUAGAAUGUUCUUCCUGGAACCUGCGUGUCACAAGGCAACCCUGCAGCUUUCCGGGGCUCUCAAGUAAGGCCCAGACUCUACCACACCCACCAGGCCCUGCCAGCCUCUCCAACCCCACUUUCCACCAUCUGCCCUCACCCUAACGACAGCCACAGUGACCUCUCAGUCCUUCAGAGCAGCCGAGCCUUUCCCUGCCUCAGGGCCUUUGCACAUGACGUUCUCCGUGCAGAACGCCCUCCCGCAUCUGGUUCUUCACCAUCGUCUCGUCCUUUCGGGUCACAGCUGAAAUGUUGCUACCCCAGUGAGGGCCCCACAGAGGUCAUUGGACCAGAGAAGCCAAGCCUCUCCCUGCCUCAGGGCCUUUGCACAUGAUGUUCUCUGUGCAGAACUAAAUCCUGCAUCCACCCCAGGCCACCAACAUCUCAGCCCCUGGGCUGGCAGGGGAGGGGGGCAGGGCACCAAUGGACCCAGGGCUUCACUACCUCCAGGCUCUCCCUCAUCUCCUUGGAGGCGAUGGCGACCAGCCUCUGGACGCCCUGAUCCUCUAGCUCCCCCUCCUGCUGGAUGAUCUCCUGGAGGACGUUGUAAAUGUUGACUUUGCGCUGGGUGGAAAUCUGGGAAACGAUUACGGGCGGGUGGGAAGAUCCUGGACUAGGUUGUGGCGCCUGGGAUGGACCCAGCCCUGCCCCCAACACAGCCCACCAUCUUCUCCCUCCACUGGCCCUCCUCCCAUAUACCCGUGAUUCGCAAGAUACGUGUAUUUGA
Long non-coding RNA from Leopardus geoffroyi (Geoffroy's cat), 1168 nucleotides. RefSeq lists it as uncharacterized. The transcript is spliced from 4 exons. The record is from RefSeq and is a predicted model, not a curated record. Lineage: Eukaryota; Metazoa; Chordata; Mammalia; Carnivora; Felidae.